GAUGAACGCUAGCUACAGGCUUAACACAUGCAAGUCGAGGGGAAACGAUGAGAGAGCUUGCUCUCUUAGUCGUCGACCGGCGCACGGGUGAGUAACGCGUAUCCAACCUGCCUCUGACCAAGGGAUAACCCGUCGAAAGUCGGACUAAUACCUUAUGCAGUCGUCGGAAGUCAUCUGAUGACGACGAAAGAUUUCAUCGGUGAGAGAUGGGGAUGCGUCUGAUUAGCUUGUUGGCGGGGUAACGGCCCACCAAGGCGACGAUCAGUAGGGGUUCUGAGAGGAAGGUCCCCCACAUUGGAACUGUGACACGGUCCAAACUCCUACGGGAGGCAGCAGUGAGGAAUAUUGGUCAAUGGGCGUAAGCCUGAACCAGCCAAGUAGCGUGCAGGAUGACGGCCCUAUGGGUUGUAAACUGCUUUUAUGCGGGGAUAAAGUGAGGGACGUGGCCUUCAUUGCAGGUACCGCAUGAAUAAGGACCGGCUAAUUCCGU
This 490-nucleotide ribosomal RNA is filed under the name uncultured bacterium. RNAcentral describes it as "partial 16S ribosomal RNA". It matches the Rfam family "Bacterial small subunit ribosomal RNA", at positions 28 to 506 of the family's 1533-position model. The record is from RNAcentral.